UAGGGAAUCUUCGGCAAUGGGGGGAACCCUGAACGAGCAACGCCGCGUGAGUGAAGAAGGUUUUCGGAUCGUAAAGCUCUGUUGUUAAGGAAGAACGAGUGUGAGACUGGAAAGUUCAUACUGUGACGGUACUUAACCAGAAAGGGACGGCUAACUACGUGCCAGCAGCCGCGGUAAUACGUAGGUCCCGAGCGUUGUCCGGAUUUAUUGGGCGUAAAGCGAGCGCAGGCGGUUAGAAAAGUCUGAAGUGAAAAGCAGUGGCUCAACCAUUGUAGGCUUUGGAAACUGUUUAACUUGAGUGCAGAAGGGGAGAGGGGAAUUCCAUGUGUAGCGGUGAAAUGCGUAGAUAUAUGGAGGAACACCGGUGGAGAAAGCGGCUCUCUGGUCUGUAACUGACGCUGAGGCUCGAAAGCGUGGGGAGCGAACAGG
Molecule: ribosomal RNA, 429 nt
Filed under: Bacteroidota bacterium
Lineage: Bacteria; Pseudomonadati; Bacteroidota
Description: Bacteroidetes bacterium partial 16S ribosomal RNA
Rfam family: Bacterial small subunit ribosomal RNA
Source: RNAcentral